CAAUUUAAAUCUUAUAAGAAGUUUUUUAUUUACAUUAAAAGGAUAACUGUUUGAAUCAGUUUAAAUUGA
This 69-nucleotide transfer RNA is filed under the name Elateroidea sp. BMNH 1274729. RNAcentral describes it as "tRNA-Val". The record is from RNAcentral. Lineage: Eukaryota; Metazoa; Arthropoda; Insecta; Coleoptera.